RNAcentral lists this long non-coding RNA (808 nucleotides) under Amphibalanus amphitrite. Its description in RNAcentral is "uncharacterized LOC122379291". The record is from RNAcentral. Lineage: Eukaryota; Metazoa; Arthropoda; Thecostraca; Balanomorpha; Balanidae.
GUUGGACUUGAGCGGUCGCCAUGCACAGAAGAUCCUCAGUCAUAGUUAACAAAAUGGAAAAAAUAGCUGUGUUUUUAAGAUUCCAGUCGUGGCCAUCAACUGCUCAGGAAAGCAGCCCAGAAUCACUUCACAACAGGUUUCCAAAGGAUCAUCAUUCAUCAGCACAGAAGGGUGGGAAAGAGAAGGCUGUUCAAAUUCUGAAAAGCCAGAGCUGCAAAGGAGGUCAAAGAUGCAGUGCAGUUGGCCCACUCAGUAGAGUUUCACUAGUGGUUCUGAUGUGGACUGAAGAUUACACGCUGGAUUGAAGUGGCCGGUCUGGAGCAGCUGUAGUUCAUCAUUCUUGCUGAUUGUGGACGAGUAAGAGCCCGCGUUGGCCCCGAUCGGCGAUCGCUGGCCAAAGCCCACCACCAGUUUGGUGAUAGGCAUUGGCUGUGAUAUCUAGUGUCGCCUAUGUGUGAAAAGGACAAGUUGAUAACAAAACCUGUUGCGCCGUGUUAUUAACCCGCGCCCGGGUGGCCCUCAGCCAACUUGGUGGGGGGGGGGGGGGGAGGCGUAUUCGGCCACACCAGGUUAUCUUGGAAUGUAACAAAGCUGGAAAGACGCAGUAAUAUCAAUCUAUAGAUCGCUAUUUUUCUUCAGAAUCAUACAGGUCAUUUUCGAUCAGGUCAUCGCUGAGGUCACUGGAGGUCACGAAAAGUAAAAUGAUGACGAAUUUUGGCCCCCGAUUUUGACAACUUCACAAAUUGGUUCAUAAUUCGGGAACCAAAGAAGCUACAGCGCCGCGGAAAAGCGAAUUCGAUAGCUCUUU